This is a long non-coding RNA of Macaca mulatta (Rhesus monkey), 2890 nucleotides long. The record is from Ensembl. Lineage: Eukaryota; Metazoa; Chordata; Mammalia; Primates; Cercopithecidae.
UGCGCGGGAGGGGUCUCGUGGGCGCUCCCGUGGUUGUGGCACGGGUGACUGCGAGCGUGUGUGUGUGGCACGAUAUCGUGGUAACCCAGAGGCGCGCGAGGCGGGGCGCCCAACGGGGUGGCGGGGCGAGCACGCGCGCCACUGGGGCGCCGGACGUUGAAAGGGGGGGUCACAUCCGGCAGGGGGCGGGCCUGGCGGACCCCGGAAGUGUGGGCGCGGCUGCGGUUUAACCCGCGGUGGCGGCGGCGGCGGCGGCCCUGGCAGGGAAGGAUGGAGACGCUGAAGGAGAAGACCCUGCAGGAGCUGGAGGAGUUGCAGAAUGACUCGGAGGCGAUUGACCAGCUGGCCCUGGAGUCCCCUGAGGUCCAGGACCUGCAGCUGGAACGGGAGAUGGCACUGGCCACCAACCGGAGCCUGGCGGAGCAGAACUUGGAGUUCCAGGGACCCCUGGAGAUCAGCCGCUCAAACCUCUCAGAUAAAUACCAGGAGCUCCGGAAGCUUGUGGAGCGGUGCCAGGAGCAGAAGGCAAAGCUGGAGAAAUUUUCUUCAGCACUGCAGCCAGGGACCUUGUUAGACCUUCUGCAGGUGGAAGGCAUGAAGAUUGAAGAAGAGUCCGAGGCCAUGGCUGAGAAGUUCCUGGAGGGCGAGGUGCCCCUGGAAACGUCCUGGAGAAUUUUUCCUCCAUGAGGAUGCUGUCCCACCUGCGCCGGUUCGCGUGGAAAACUCCAGGAAGUGGUGAGGAAGCCCAGGGCUUCCCAGGAGCUGGCUGGCGAUGCCCCCCCACCCCGCCCGCCACCCCCGGCGCGCCCAGUCCCCCAGGCAACGCCCCCUGUGGUUGAAGAGCAGCCGCAGCCACCAUCAGCCAUGCCUCCCUACCCUUUGCCCUACAGCCCGUCCCCCAGCCUGCCUGUGGGCCCCACUGCCCAUGGAGCCCUGCCACCGGCCCCUUUCCCGGUGGUGUCCCAGCCCUCCUUCUACAGCGGGCCUCUGGGCCCCACUUACCCGGCAGCCCAGCCUGGACCCAGGGGUGCCGUGGGUUACUCCUGGUCCCCACAGAGGAGCACGCCACCCCGGUCGGGCUAUCCUGGGACCCCGACUGGCACCUCUGGGCCUGGUUACCCCUUGGCGGGAGGCAGGGCCCCCAGUCCUGGUUAUCCUCAACAGUCUCCAUAUCCUGCAACAGGAGGAAAGCCUCCCUACCCAAUACAGCCCCAGCUCCGCAGCUUCCCAGGCCAGCCCCAGCCCUCAUUGCCCCCGCAGCCCCCUUAUCCCCCCGGGCCCGCCCCUCCCUAUGGGUUUCCACCGCCCCCGGGGCCUGCCUGGCCUGGGUAUUAGCCGUACUCCUGGCCCUCGGCCCCUCCCGAGUCCCACCCACGCUCAACCUUUGGCCCAGCCAUCGCCGAGAUUCGAGGGUCAACUGGAGGUGGCGUUGGUGCUCCCUGUGGACUUGCGUUGGCACCCAGAGGCCUUGGAGGGACAAGGCACUGGGCAGUGUGACUGGUCACGGCACUUGCUGGCCCUCUGGCCGGAGUCCUCCUAGAAGCCCCUACUUUCAGUGCCUGGCUGUAGUGGUGCUAGCCAGGCUGGGGUCCGGCACCUCUCGCCGGUGUCUGUGUGAGUGAGCGUGUGCGCACAUUUAUGAGCAUCUACUUGCGGCUGCGCUCAGGGCCAUCUGAACCCAGUGCAGAGUUAUCUCGAGGAGGAGGCCCCGGGUCUCCGGCCCCUCCGGCUCCCCUGGGGUUUGGCAUAUUUGACGUGGAGCCCCAUGCCAAGGGAUGCAGCUGUUGGUGUCUGUCCAGUCCAUUCAAGGCUAGCCUGCCCACGCACUGUGGCAGGGGUUGGAUUGGAGGGAGAGAACAGAGUUGGGAAAAACAACAGGUUUGAGUCCUAUAAAGCCAUAAUUUAACUCCAGUACCUGAUGUCAGACAAGCUUGUCCUGUGUCCUGUUUGAGUGGCGGCAGCGCCAGUGCAGCAAGAAGGCUGGGGGUCGUGAAGACUGUCCCCAGACCUUGCUUGCACUAUUUGGAGAACCCAGGGGGCUGCCUUGGGCCCUCUGGCCAGAGGGAAGGGAGCAGCUCUAGCCCUGGAGAUUGUGGUCACAUUGGGGCUCGUUUAGGAGUGGAGGGCCAGGUCACCUCCCCAGCCACCCUUCUCUCCUCUGGGACCCCCCACUUUAGGGUGACUUUGCCCGAGGCCCACGCAUCCAUCCACUCCUUUAGUGCCUUGAAUCUCAUUCACAAGCAGCCCCCUCCCUUUCCCUCCCCUGCCCCUCACUCCUUUGAUGUAAUCCUCCCACCCCCAGUGUCCAUCCUAAGGCAUCAAAAGAGGCCCUAACGUAACUUCCCAAAUGGUGCUUUUUAAAAAACACCAUCACUACAUAGGGGCAGUUUUUUCGCACCUCCCUGUCUUCAGAAUGUAAAGGGUGGGGAUUAUGGCUCUGUGUAAUAUGCAGCCCCCUGCACUGUGGGGAUUGGGGCAUGUUCAGUAAUCAGAAUGAAGACAAUAGACAAAGGGGUGUGAUGAGUGUUAACUUGGUUGUUCCAGAGGUAAACCAGGUCUCAGGGAAGAGCCUGGAGCUGCUAUUGCUUAGGAAGUUGUACGUGCCUUGAAAUGUCCACUACCUGAGGACCCAGCGUCUGGUGGGCCCGGGGCUGCUGGGGCCAAGGAGAGACCUUGACCUUCUGGUGCCUGCCCCUCCCCGGCCUACGUGCCAUCUGCGUGACGCUCGGUCCGCGGUGCCGGUUCUUUACCAAAUGUGCUUGCUUCUCCUAAGUUAUUUAUAAAGAGAAAUCACUAAUGGACUCUACUGGUUUGAGUGCUUCUGAGCUGGAUGACCGACCGCCUGUAUGUUUGUGUAAUUAAUUGCCAUAAUAAACUUUGAUGAGUCACA